CCGCGGCCCGGGUUCGAUUCCCGGUCAGGG
Molecule: non-coding RNA, 30 nt
Filed under: Gallus gallus (chicken)
Lineage: Eukaryota; Metazoa; Chordata; Aves; Galliformes; Phasianidae
Also listed under: 5 other names
Source: RNAcentral